UGCGUAGGCGGACUAAUAAGUCAGUGGUGAAAUCUUUCGGCUCAACCGAGAAACUGCCAUUGAUACUGUUAGUCUUGAGUUCGGUUGAGGUAGGCGGAAUGUGUAAUGUAGCGGUGAAAUGCUUAGAUAUUACACAGAACACCAAUUACGUAGGCAGCUUACUAGACCGACACUGACGCUGAGGCACGAAAGCGUGGGGAGCGAACAGGAUUAGAUACCCUGGUAGUCC
RNAcentral lists this ribosomal RNA (229 nucleotides) under uncultured bacterium. RNAcentral describes it as "partial 16S ribosomal RNA". It matches the Rfam family "Bacterial small subunit ribosomal RNA", at positions 568 to 796 of the family's 1533-position model. The record is from RNAcentral.